AUUGAACGCUGGCGGCAGGCCUAACACAUGCAAGUCGAGCGGAUGAAGGGAGCUUGCUCCUGGAUUCAGCGGCGGACGGGUGAGUAAUGCCUAGGAAUCUGCCUGGUAGUGGGGGAUAACGUCCGGAAACGGGCGCUAAUACCGCAUACGUCCUGAGGGAGAAAGUGGGGGAUCUUCGGACCUCACGCUAUCAGAUGAGCCUAGGUCGGAUUAGCUAGUUGGUGGCGUAAAGGCCUACCAAGGCGACGAUCCGUAACUGGUCUGAGAGGAUGAUCAGUCACACUGGAACUGAGACACGGUCCAGACUCCUACGGGAGGCAGCAGUGGGGAAUAUUGGACAAUGGGCGAAAGCCUGAUCCAGCCAUGCCGCGUGUGUGAAGAAGGUCUUCGGAUUGUAAAGCACUUUAAGUUGGGAGGAAGGGCAGUAAGUUAAUACCUUGCUGUUUUGACGUUACCAACAGAAUAAGCACCGGCUAACUUCGUG
This 484-nucleotide ribosomal RNA is filed under the name uncultured bacterium. RNAcentral describes it as "partial 16S ribosomal RNA". It matches the Rfam family "Bacterial small subunit ribosomal RNA", at positions 30 to 507 of the family's 1533-position model. The record is from RNAcentral.